AUUUGGCAUUUUUUUUUUUUUUAUUUAAAAUGAGAUUUUUUUGAUAUUCAUUGGAAAGUUAUUCCAAAAAGAGUUCGAGUACUGCGAAUAAUUGCAUUCUUGAGUUGAUAAAGAAAUUGGAAGAGUGUUCGAUAUUCGAGAUAAGAAUCACGAGAUGGAGGAAAACAAAGGAAAAAAAAAAAUCAUCGUACUUCUCAUCACAUGAAAUUUCCAAUUCCCCUCGAUCCAUCGUAAAACGUUUCGCGUAAAAUAUGAUCGUUUCGCGCCAUUUAAUUUCCGCACAGAUAACUGAUCUCCGUUGGUAUUCGUACGGUUGGCGAGAAUAGAUGGAAAGAAAAGAAGAGAAGAGGGAGGGAGAGAAAAUUGGAAUCACGAUCGAUCGAUCGAAACGUGAUUUUACGCGCGUGCGUACCAACAUUUAUGCGAUGCAACACGAUGCUAAUUAACGCGGAGUUAAUUAAAAACGAAUAACAAGGCCAUAGAUCGCCUCCAAGCUUCGAGAUUAUGCGAGAUUAUUGUGAAAUAUUCCAAGGUCGAUAUAAACGAGAUGAAGAGAAGAAAAGAUUUGCGGAGAAAUAGAAAAAUUUCUGUUUCUCGAUGUAUUUCGAGAUAGAAGAAUUUGAUCAGUUGAUCGAUAAUUUUGGAAAGCGAAUAUACGAAGGGUUUGGAGAUCGAUCAGUGCAAUUCACAUUUGAAAAUUUUCCGAUACAAAUGAAUUAAUUAAAUCAGAUCUGUCGAAAUAUUUUUAUACGUUUUUCUAUCUGACUGAAUAAUCGAAUAAUAAGUAUCGAGGAAUUUUGUGGGAAUGCGUAUUGAGUAAGAAGUAAGUUUAUUUAAAACAGGUAAAUGAGUCAUUACCUGUACGCGGAAUAACAUUUUCGAGUCGACAGUGAAAAGGGAUAUUUAAUUACGACUGAUGUAAUUUAAUAACGUGAAUCGAAAAAAUUGCGAAAUUUCGUUUUUUUUUUUUUUUUUUUAACUUACUACGAGUAUGCGUAUUAAUGCAAAAAAAUAUAAAAACGUACCCACGAAUAACUUUCAUUAACAGACACUGGUUCUUUAAUGCAAAUAUGAAAAAAAAAAAAGUAUAAGGAAUGUUCGAUAUAAAUAUAAUAACGAUGCAAUACGCAAGCAAAAUAUAUCCACAUAUCGAACACAAAAACUAUAUGCAACGAUGUUUCGAAUACACGGUUAUAAUAGUAUAGAGAUAAAAGAAGUCAAUUUUCACGUACCGAAAAGAAAAAUGGGAGAAAAAAGUCGAGGCGAAGUUCCAUGAGAGCGAGCAAGCAGGUUCGCGCUUGCAGCAUUCGAUCUCCAUGAUCCGGGCAAGACACGACUCAAAGAGGUCCGUCGCUGAAAAACGUCAGAUCCCAUCAGCUAUGCGGCUAGUACGGCUCAUCAGCAAGGCGGAACGAUCGCGAGAGAUCGCGAUCGAAGCGAGUCACGCCGCGAUUCGUCGUCGUCGUCGUCGUCGUCGUCGUCCUCCUCUUCGUCUUCGUCUUCGUCUUCGUCGUCCUCAUUUUCCUCGUCAUUCUCGUCAUCGUCGUCGUUCCCAAGCGGAGCGGAGAGAAACGCGCUCGUGCACGCUUAGCAGCGGCCGACCGAGAUCCCAGAGAUCGGAGAUCGUGUUCGCUUUGCGAUGCCGCCGACUCGUUACCAGAUCGUUCUCGCAUCUCCUUCUCAUCUCGGCACGCAUGCGCUUCUGCCGACCAACUCUCCAUGCUUAUGCUAUACGCCGCGUGGAAAUGGCGAGAGAUUGGCGGAUUUUAGCAAAGUGUUCAUGGUUGGCUGGAUCUUGUCGAGGAUACGUGGAUGAUUAUUCAUCGAGAAAAAUAUCGCGAACGUAUGAAAAAGAGAAAAAGUUUGGUUAUGUGCUGAAGAUGACCGAUCACUUUGGACAAGCUUUAACAAACGGGUGUAUGUGCAGAAAAGAUUUAUGCGAAUCGUGAGCAAGAGUUUCGAAGAUAAGUUGAAGGAAUACGAAUCCGACAGAGCGAGGAAACAAAUAUUGGAAGGGAUUCGAGAGAAUCGGUGUGCGUUUAUGCGUUGGUGAAGGAUGAGACAAGAGUGUCGAUGAAUAUAGUGUAACGUACGCCGUGUGCUAAAUGUGCAAAUUCUCCUUGUACGCGAGAAAUGAGAUUGAAGAUAGAUACAAGAAUCGAAGGUAAUUAUAUGGAAAAGUUUUCGUUUUAUUUCGCGAAUAGUACUUAUAAACAAGAUGUCAAAAACAAACGUAGAUAUGUUAAUAGUUUUGUGCGGAAACUGUAAGAAAUUGGAAAACAAAUUUCCUUUAUUAUAUUAUUUAGUCGUGUUUAAGAGAAUAUCGAUGAUAUCUAAUAAUAAUCGCUGGAAUAGAUUUAUUCCAAUUUGCACUUUCGAGUUAACGAAUUCGAGUGAACGUGAUCUUCUCUCUUCUAUUUAUCACUUAAUCUAACCUAACCUAAUUUAACCAAAUCGAAACCCAAAGUUUCCGCACGAAAACAUAUUAUUGAAUUUCUCUUACAAAAUCUAUCUACUUUACGUAAAACGAAGCCUUCGAAAAAAUCAAUAGACAAAAAUAACUCGACGAAUCGAGACCCACGCGAAAAAUAAUGCUUCGCGACAAACGUUCAUUUCGAUUCGCCGUAAACACUCUGCGAAGCAAUUUCAAUUUCACGAGCCGAGGUAUAAAUCUCGACCGUAGCUGUCAAUUGUUUUCUGAACUCUAAAUUCGAGCGUUUCCGCGUGAAAAAGACGUAGAAGGCGGGGGAUCAGGCGCGCCAUUGUAAAUCGGCCCGGUUGGAAAAAUGAUGGCGCGCCACGGUGAAGGUGAUUUACCACCUUAAUACGUUCGGGCAUAAUUCGUUCCGUGGACAGUAGUAACUAGGCAGGUCGGUAACGGUUCACGCGAAAAGGAGUUAUCCCCGCGAUAAUCGUGAGCGCGGUUGGUGAAAAAUCGUUUUGCGGAGGCCGCGCGCAAUAUUUUCGUCUGCCCGUUCGACGAAGGAGGGACGAAGCUAUGCGGCGAAUUCGAAAAAGCGCCGUGAACACGGUGGCGAGUAUUAAAUGCCUUAUCGCGCUCAAAGUCCCGCGGCAAGCCUUAAUAUUCAAGCGUAUCUGGCUUGAUCCUAGCAGCCGUGUCGGCAGAUCGCGUUACACCGGACCUGCCUCGCUAAUUUACCGCGGUAUUCCUGUCUUUCUGUUUUUCUAUGGAGCGUUUCGUGUGAAUUUCGUUGAAUUUUGAUCGAAAAUUUAAGAGUCUCCGAUGCGGACGAACGAGAGAACAAGUGAGAACAUGCUGCGAGUUCUUAUAAUCUUUUUUUCAUAUUUUAUUUUUCAUGUUAAAAUUUCGAAUGUUUGAUUAAUAUUUUUUUAAGUAAUAUAAUCCUAAUUUUAUAAUCUCUCAAGUAUUACAUGAGCAAAUACGUAUAUCUUUUAAUCAGUAAAUUUGUCAUUGAAUAAUACUAAUGUUCGACUAUUGUAUUUAUUAUGUAGCUCUUGUGCAGUUUAUAGAUUAGAAAUAUAAAAUCGUGCGAUAAAACAUAUUUCCUAUAUGUUGGAAUUAAAUGUUAACUGUCGUACAAUCAUUAUUGAUAAAUUUAACAUCAGUAGACUUUUAAAAGAAUCUUAUCUUAUAAUAAAUAGGUUUAAUAAAUUAAACCCGAAGAAAUAGUAUAUUCGUAUCUGCUGUAA
Molecule: long non-coding RNA, 3672 nt
Organism: Apis florea (little honeybee)
Lineage: Eukaryota; Metazoa; Arthropoda; Insecta; Hymenoptera; Apidae
Source: RefSeq, a predicted model, not a curated record